CGGAGGAUCCAAGCGUUAUCCGGAAUCAUUGGGUUUAAAGGGUCCGUAGGCGGUUUGAUAAGUCAGUGGUGAAAGCCCAUCGCUCAACGAUGGAACGGCCAUUGAUACUGUCAGACUUGAAUUACUGGGAAGUAACUAGAAUAUGUAGUGUAGCGGUGAAAUGCUUAGAUAUUACAUGGAAUACCAAUUGCGAAGGCAGGUUACUACCAGUGGAUUGACGCUGAUGGACGAAAGCGUGGGGAGCGAACAGGAUUAGAUACCCUGGUAGUCCACGCCGUAAACGAUGGAUACUAGCUGUUGGGCGCAAGUUCAGUGGCUAAGCGAAAGUGAUAAGUAUCCCACCUGGGGAUACGUUCGCAAGAAUG
RNAcentral lists this ribosomal RNA (365 nucleotides) under uncultured organism. RNAcentral's name for it is "bacterial SSU rRNA". It matches the Rfam family "Bacterial small subunit ribosomal RNA", at positions 526 to 896 of the family's 1533-position model. The record is from RNAcentral.